Long non-coding RNA from Schistocerca cancellata (South American locust), 1677 nucleotides. RefSeq lists it as uncharacterized. Lineage: Eukaryota; Metazoa; Arthropoda; Insecta; Orthoptera; Acrididae. The record is from RefSeq and is a predicted model, not a curated record. The transcript has 10 exons.
CGAAAAUAUGUAGUUUUAAUGAUACAGCGCAUUAAAGAUCUAUCCAAGACCCGUUUUUUUUCGGGUUGUGGUACAGUGCCAAGAAGUCCGGUACCGAUUUACAAAAACUGCUAACAGGCACCGACAAAAAAAUCAAAUAAUAUCUUACAUACCGGGAAUGGCGAUUCUGUCCCAACCAAACAUUGUGAGGAUGGUAGAAAUUUCUACAAAGAAAGAGAGAGACAAUCCACACCUUUAAGGUGAACUACAUGCAAAUAAGCAAGAUGUUCCAGUGCUGUUCUGAUGACGCAGCAGGUGCUGUAGGGGUCCAUCCACUGACCAGCUGAGCUGGUGGCAGAUGACCUAUGUGUACAAGAGGACACACCACAUAUAUAAUUAAGGCGAGGAUGGCCAAUGAUCACUUCAGUGCAGAUGCGCACAACACUCGAACUCAUAAGGGAAUCAGUGAACUCCCACAAGUAACAAGAAUAACAGGCAAGGGGCACUGCAUCAGUAUUGUGUGUUUAAGUUAACAAUUUACAUCUGAUGCAGGUGUCCUAGGGCAGUCCAUGCAGUUACGAUGACACUGUGUCUGGAUGGCGCAGUAGUCAGCACAUCUGCCUAGUAAGCAGGAGACCUGAGUUUGAAUCCCAAUCCAGCAGAAAUUUUCAACUUUCAAUUUCGAUUUAAAUCAAUGAUCACUGGCAGCUAUUGUCAUUAACUCCUUUGUGCCGUAAUGAUAUCAUUUUCAAUACAUUUUGGUGUUGUGGUACUAUGUGCAUGUCAGGUCCUUUGUCCAAAGUAAUUUUUCCUAUACAAGUCAAUUAUUUGAGAUGUGUACAAGAGGACACACCACAUAUAUAAUUAAGGCGAGGAUGGCCAAUGAUCACUUCAGUGCAGAUGCGCACAACACUCGAACUCAUAAGGGAAUCAGUGAACUCCCACAAGUAACAAGAAUAACAGGCAAGGGGCACUGCAUCAGUAUUGUGUGUUUAAGUUAACAAUUUACAUCUGAUGCAGGUGUCCUAGGGCAGUCCAUGCAGUUACGAUGACACUGUGUCUGGAUGGCGCAGUAGUCAGCACAUCUGCCUAGUAAGCAGGAGACCUGAGUUUGAAUCCCAAUCCAGCAGAAAUUUUCAACUUUCAAUUUCGAUUUAAAUCAAUGAUCACUGGCAGCUAUUGUCAUUAACUCCUUUGUGCCGUAAUGAUAUCAUUUUCAAUACAUUUUGGUGUUGUGGUACUAUGUGCAUGUCAGGUCCUUUGUCCAAAGUAAUUUUUCCUAUACAAGUCAAUUAUUUGAGGUUCAAGCUGCUGAAGCAAUCUCAGAAUAUUACCCUCACUGCUCAGUGUGCAUAUUAAGGAAAGCUGUCAUUAAAACUCGCAAAACUAAAAGACAUGAUGACAUUGACAGAGUAGUACAUACCACAUAAUGACAAGCAGUAUUACAAAGCACUGAAGUGUACAUUACGUGAGGGAAGUGCAGACUGUACUGACUAUCUUACAGAAAAGAAAGAUAACACUUCAGUAUUGAACAUUCAUCAUGCAGUGAUGUGUACAAGAGGACACACCACAUAUAUAAUUAAGGCGAGGAUGGCCAAUGAUCACUUCAGUGCAGAUGCGCACAACACUCGAACUCAUAAGGGAAUCAGUGAACUCCCACAAGUAACAAGAAUAACAGGCAAGGGGCACUGCAUCAGU